UCCGUAGGGGAACCUGCGGAAGGAUCAUUA
This 30-nucleotide non-coding RNA is filed under the name Mus musculus (house mouse). RNAcentral also lists the same sequence under 5 other names. Lineage: Eukaryota; Metazoa; Chordata; Mammalia; Rodentia; Muridae. The record is from RNAcentral.